GUUCGCGCUGGUGGAGCACCCCAGCUUGCAGGUUCAGCGUGGGUGUCUCUCCCGGGCACAUCGAGCUGUCUAGAGGAACCCUCUUCCCCUGGCUUCACGGCCCAGAGGACGCACGGCUCUCUCCCCUCGAGAGCGUGUUUCGUCGCCCGCGCGGGGAACGCAAAGUGCUAGGGUAGUCACGGCCACUUCACGCCGAGGGACAUCUCAUCUCGCCCUCCAGGUCGUGAGCGCACCCAUUCCGCUCACUGAGGCCGAAAGCUUCGGACCUCCGUGGGCCCUGAGACUUCAGCGUUCCAUGUCUGCUGUGCUGUGGAACCCAGAGUGCUCUUGCCUGGAUGGCUGAGAAUCCCUUGGACCCUGGAAGCACCUACUCCAUGAUGGCCCGCAGGAGGACCAAACUGGAGACAGUCCUGGCUCUGAGGAAACAGGAAGGAAGGAGGGUGAAAGGAACGUCCACCUGCACACAAAGGAAAGAUGAAAAAGAGUCACCUACCAUGGGACCUGGCAAAGUACUUCAGAACUUUUAUUCCUUCCAGAAGCAGGAAUCUUGUGCCGAAAGCAGGUAAUGAAGACCACAAA
This 579-nucleotide long non-coding RNA is filed under the name Homo sapiens (human). RNAcentral's name for it is "non-protein coding KDM4A-AS1:8". The record is from RNAcentral. Lineage: Eukaryota; Metazoa; Chordata; Mammalia; Primates; Hominidae.